This 68-nucleotide small RNA is filed under the name Oceanobacillus oncorhynchi. RNAcentral's name for it is "Bacillaceae-1 RNA". It matches the Rfam family "Bacillaceae-1 RNA". The record is from Rfam by way of RNAcentral. Lineage: Bacteria; Bacillati; Bacillota; Bacilli; Caryophanales; Bacillaceae.
GAAAGAGAAUCUUCUGCUAAAAACGCCCACACCAUGCGGGCAACGUAGAAGUUACUGCCUCCUGUGGA